CAUGCCGCGUGAGUGAAGAAGGCCUUCGGGUUGUAAAGCUCUUUUGUUGGGAAAGAAAGCUUUCGGCCAAUACCCGGGAGUUCUGACGGUACCCAAAGAAUAAGCACCGGCUAACUUCGUGCCAGCCCCGUCGGUGACUGAGCGGGCUGGCAAGGCGCAUA
RNAcentral lists this ribosomal RNA (161 nucleotides) under uncultured bacterium. Its description in RNAcentral is "partial 16S ribosomal RNA". It matches the Rfam family "Bacterial small subunit ribosomal RNA", at positions 393 to 539 of the family's 1533-position model. The record is from RNAcentral.